AGUGAACGCUGGCGGUAGGCCUAACACAUGCAAGUCGAACGGCAGCACAGGAGAGCUUGCUCUCUGGGCGGCGAGUGGCGGACGGGUGAGGAAUACAUCGGAAUCUACUUUUUCGUGGGGGAUAACGUAGGGAAACUUACGCUAAUACCGCAUACGACCUACGGGUGAAAGCAGGGGACCUUCGGGCCUUGCGCGAUUGAAUGAGCCGAUGUCGGAUUAGCUAGUUGGCGGGGUAAAGGCCCACGAAGGCGACGAUCCGUAGCUGGUCUGAGAGGAUGAUCAGCCACACUGGAACUGAGACACGGUCCAGACUCCUACGGGAGGCAGCAGUGGGGAAUAUUGGACAAUGGGCGCAAGCCUGAUCCAGCCAUACCGCGUGGGUGAAGAAGGCCUUCGGGUUGUAAAGCCCUUUUGUUGGGAAAGAAAUCCAGCUGGCUAAUACCCGGUUGGGAUGACGGUACCCAAAGAGUAAGCACCGGCUAACUUCGUGCCAGCCGCCGCAGUAA
This 506-nucleotide ribosomal RNA is filed under the name uncultured bacterium. RNAcentral's name for it is "partial 16S ribosomal RNA". It matches the Rfam family "Bacterial small subunit ribosomal RNA", at positions 29 to 523 of the family's 1533-position model. The record is from RNAcentral.